Molecule: ribosomal RNA, 769 nt
Filed under: Cicurina sp. 1 JCS-2006
Lineage: Eukaryota; Metazoa; Arthropoda; Arachnida; Araneae; Dictynidae
Description: SSU rRNA
Rfam family: Eukaryotic small subunit ribosomal RNA
Source: RNAcentral
AAAGUUAGAGGUUCGAAGGCGAUCAGAUACCGCCCUAGUUCUAACCAUAAACGAUGCCAGCCAGCGAUCCGGCUGUGUUCCUCAAAUGACACGCCGGGCAGCUUCCGGGAAACCAAAGCUUUUGGGUUCCGGGGGAAGUAUGGUUGCAAAGCUGAAACUUAAAGGAAUUGACGGAAGGGCACCACCAGGAAUGGAGCCUGCGGCUUAAUUUGACUCAACACGGGGAAACCUACCCGGCCCGGACACAGGAAGGAUUGACAGAUUGAGAGCUCUUUCUUGAUUCUGUGGCAGGUGGUGCAUGGCCGUUCUUAGUUGGUGAGGCGACUUGUCUGGUUAAUUCCGAUAACGAACGAGACUCUAGCCUAUUAAAUAGACGUUCCGAUCAUCUCCGUCGGACGUUCUUCUUAGAGGGACAAGCAGCGUUUAGCUGCACGAGACAGAGCAAUAACAGGUCUGUGAUGCCCUUAGAUGUCCGGGGCCGCACGCGCGCUACAUUGAAGGAAUCAUCGUGUGCUUUCCCUGUCCGACAGGACUGGGUAACCCGUUGAACCUCCUUCGUGCUGGGGAUAGGAGUUUGCAAUUGUCCUCCUUGAACGAGGAAUUCCCAGUAAGCACGAGUCAUCAGCUCGUGUUGACUAAGUCCCUGCCCUUUGUACACACCGCCCGUCGCUACGACCGAUUGAAUGAUUUAGUGAGGUCUUCGGACUGGUGGCCGAAAUGGGCUCUUGCUCGUGGCGGAUCGCCGGAAAGAUGACCGAACUUGGUCAUU